UUAGAAUACACCCCGUUCGACUGUGUAAAUGUGUUCUUUGAUCAACCAAACCUUGGUGAAUGUACAAUCAGGGGGAGCCUUGAUGCCUUCUCAUGCAAAGCAUGCAGGAAAUGAUUGUUGGCUUUCAAUAAGCUUUGAAUAUGAGGAACACAUACAAUAUAAUCAGCUGGUUAUCAGAAACAUCAUGAGCAUGACAGAGAAAUGUGGAUCAUGUGCGAACUUGAAGAUCAAAGGCAAUUGAAGG
Aegilops tauschii subsp. strangulata is the source of this 244-nucleotide non-coding RNA. NCBI's taxonomy places the organism in Eukaryota, Viridiplantae, Streptophyta, Magnoliopsida, Poales, Poaceae. The record is from RefSeq and is a predicted model, not a curated record.